Molecule: ribosomal RNA, 460 nt
Filed under: uncultured bacterium
Lineage: Bacteria
Description: partial 16S ribosomal RNA
Rfam family: Bacterial small subunit ribosomal RNA
Source: RNAcentral
CCUACGGGAGGCAGCAGUGAGGAAUAUUGGUCAAUGGACGAAAGUCUGAACCAGCCAUGCAGCGUGCAGGAUGACUGCUCUAUGAGUUGUAAACUUCUUUUGUACGGGGGUAAAACCCGAUACGUGUAUCCUGUUGUAUGUAUCGUACGAAUAAGGAUCGGCUAACUCCGUGCCAGCAGCCGCGGUAAUACGGAGGAUCCGAGCGUUAUCCGGAUUUAUUGGGUUUAAAGGGUGCGUAGGCGGGUUGUUAAGUUAGAGGUGAAAUGUUGGGGCUCAACCCCGAAACUGCCGCUAAUACGGGUGGACUAGAGAAUAGUAGCGGUAGGCGGAAUGUAUGGUGUAGCGGUGAAAUGCUUAGAGAUCAUAAAGAACACCGAUUGCGAAGGCAGCUUACCAAACUAUAUCUGACGCUGAGGCACGAAAGCGUGGGUAGCAAACAGGAUUAGAUACCCCAGUAGUC